Molecule: long non-coding RNA, 2305 nt
Filed under: Cyanistes caeruleus (blue tit)
Lineage: Eukaryota; Metazoa; Chordata; Aves; Passeriformes; Paridae
Description: lncRNA (ENSCCEG00000011057.1)
Source: RNAcentral
AUGGAGAAGAGACCCCCUGCCACCCCCAGGGAGGCCUGGGAGGAGGACAGCUCUUCCCAGGGGAGCAACUCUUCACAGCUCUUCUCCGUCUACGACACAACCACGAUGCAGCCACUGCAGCUGGAUGCCAGCUGGUUGCCGAUAUACGAAGAAUCAGAGGAAGCCGUGGAUUUCAUCAUGGCCUUUGUCAGCAGCCUUGACAAGGACACCCACAAGUUCACAUUUCUGAAGAGCACCUACGUCCUGUGCAAAACUGCCUUGAAACGUGGCUUGACUCAGGGCCUGGAUUUAUUCUGCCAAGCAUGCGAAGUGGUAGAGAAUAUCAAGGACCUCCUGGAAAAGGAGCCAAGGGACCAUCUAUCCUCACAGAUCCGGUAUCUUGCCAUGAUCACCAUCGACGAGUUAUGCUUGGUGGAGAAUGUGCUGGAGGGCAAAACCAAAAGCCUCCUCUCUGCAUGUUUCUCAAGUGUCUUAUUGCUCCCCUCGGAAAGGGAAAUGCCACACCAGAGCGCUUCCCUCUUCACCAAGACCCUGAAAGCCAUGGACACAAUGCUGAGGACGGUGGUGCUCAGCUUUCCUGCCUCCAGUGUCUGCAAGGAGCUGCAGGACAUCUUUGAGGUGCUGCUGGACUUCACCAGAUCCGAGAGAGAAGUUGUGCGGGAGAGGGCUGUGGGGAGGAUUGGUGUCCUGGCCAGUUUGCUGUCUAGCUAUUCCACUCUGAAGGCCUCUCUCAGCUUUGGAAGAGACAGUUUUGGACCUGCCUGCCCUGAAGACAUCUCAGUCCCAGUCAUGGGGAGGCUGGUGGGACGUCUCAUUCUUUUCCGAUAUUCCGAGGAACAAACAAGUUAUACAGCUUUCCACGCUCUGUUUUCCCUUGCUGAAUUCCUCUACAAGUCAAGGCCAAGGGAUGGGCCAGACCAAUUUGCUUGGGAAGCUGUGACCACUUCCUCUCUGUGUUACCUGAGCAUCAGAGACUGUACCCAGGUCUUUGGAAAAUACCUCCACUCCAGAGAGAGGACAGAUGUCAUCCUGGAGGCCAUUCAGGCGAUGAGAGAUGCCAGCAUCCUUGACAAGCAGGUGCCCAGCAGCAUGCUGGAUGUGGCCAUGGAAGACCCAAAAUUCUGGCUGACAGAUGUGCCCAAGACAGUGAGAUGCAUUCUUGAAAACCUGCUAUGCAUCACCACAGAGUCAGGCUGUAGGAAAGUGGAGUCGCUGUUUCUCCUGAUGACCAACGAGAACCGCUCGGCAGUGGUCAUCAGCCUGUGUGAGAUGACUCUGCGAGGAGACAGCGCUGUGCAGGAGCUGUGCGACACUCUGUCCUCCAUGCCUGAGAUUUUGGACAAGGUCCUCACGGAGUUUGCUACCUUGCUCCGGAACCACUGGUGCAGCUCUUCCAGAGAAAGCACCUGGAACUCUCACAGAGCUCCAUCCUUGGGGCACAGUGACUUGGAGGAGCUGCGUAACAAGCCCAGCAUCUGGAGCGAUGAGGGCCAUCCCGAUGUGGUGACGGCCUUCCUGAUGCUGGAGAUCCUCACUGGGCUGUCAGAGAGAGCUGAGAUGGCAAAAAAAAUUGAAGUCUUUCUGCCAAGCAUGGUGAAGAUACUGGAAGCUGGCAGUGAAGAUGAGAAGCUGAAGGUCAUUGUGGUCUUCCACAAUCUCCUGCCUCAGCUGAAAAAGUCAAAGGCCAGCUCCAUCACUGUGGCACUGGUGGGGAAGAUCAUACCCCUCUUUGACUCGCAUGAGUGUGGGCAGCUGCGAGAGCUCUCCCUCUGGCUCCUCAGAGACCUGCUGAGGUCCGUGGUGAGAAGGGAUGAGAAGAAGAUGGGGAGGGAGAUGCAGAAUGCACUGAUCCCGCUCCUCUUCCGCUUGAACGACCAUCUCCCCAGCGUGGCCAAGGUGUGGCUUUGAAGGCUGAGCACUGCUGUGGGGGGCACUGACACCUCCCAGGCACUGGGGCAAGGGCUGCUCGCCUCGGGCAGGGCUCCCCCAGCGCAGCCCCGGGGAAGGGUCCCUGUGGAACCAGCACGAGCAGGGGUGGACAAGGUGGCUUGGCCGUUUUCAGCACCUGUCCUGCCCGCUCCAGCAGGGCUCGACAGCAGCCCAGGACACUGAGGCAGCACCUGAGGCCUGAACAUGUGUGCUCCAGAAGCCCAGAGGCUUCUCAGCUUCCCCACAAGUGUCGGGGGCCACGGCUUCAAGCCUCAGUCAGUCCCCCAGAGACUCCAAGACAUUUGGGCUAGGACAAGUCACAGCUUCCUAAGGGUGGGAUCACUGCAGGAAUAAAGCCAAGAGGUCUCUUUCCCCA